GUGCCAGCAGCCGCGGUAAUACAUAGGGGUCAAGCGUUGUCCGGAUUUAUUGGGCGUAAAGAGCUCGUAGGCGGUUCAACAAGUCGGUCGUAAAAGUUUAGGGCUCAACCCUAAAAUGUCGAUCGAUACUGUUGUGACUAGGAUACGGUAGAGGUGGAUGGAAUUCCGAGUGUAGCGGUGAAAUGCGUAGAUAUUCGGAGGAACACCAAUUGCGAAGGCAGUUCACUGGACAUUUACUGACGCUCAGACACGAAGGCUAGGGUAGCGAACAGGAUUAGAUA
RNAcentral lists this ribosomal RNA (281 nucleotides) under uncultured bacterium. RNAcentral's name for it is "partial 16S ribosomal RNA". It matches the Rfam family "Bacterial small subunit ribosomal RNA", at positions 505 to 784 of the family's 1533-position model. The record is from RNAcentral.